Long non-coding RNA from Rosa chinensis, 801 nucleotides. RefSeq lists it as uncharacterized. NCBI's taxonomy places the organism in Eukaryota, Viridiplantae, Streptophyta, Magnoliopsida, Rosales, Rosaceae. The record is from RefSeq and is a predicted model, not a curated record. The transcript has 6 exons.
GGCGGAUAGAGGGUUCGAGAGAGAGAGGAGGUCAACUCUGAGACAGAAACUGUGAGAGCGACAGUGAUCGAGAGAGAGACGGCAACUCUGAGAGCGAAAAAAUAAUAGAGAGAUUGAGAGACAGAAGCACUGAGAGUUUAGUAGUGGUCCAUAGCAAGAUUUGGAUCGGUUUGUUUCGUUUUGUUUUGUAUCCAGAGAGAUUGGCGCAGAGGCUUCACUGCAGAGAUAGAGAGAUAUUCGUAUAGAAUCUUCGCAUAAUUGGUGGUUUAAGGUUCUAUGCAAAGGAGUAUCUACAUUGUUCUUUUGCCACUGUUCCUGAUUACGUUGUUUGGUGUUAGUUCAGUUCCCUGUUUUCAGUCAGAGCCAAUGAGAAUGUGGUUACUUGAAAAAGUAUCCCUUUUUUACGCACAAGAGCUCAAAUGAUGAGGUUUUUGAUGCUAAAAAGACCUUGAUAGUGACGAAGACAUUGAAGGUGAGGACAAUUUAUUUAAUUCAGAGCAAGCAAGCAAGCACCCUGAUCACAUUGACUAGGAAUCUCACUCAUUGAUAUGGCGAUUACUUAAGGUCUCCAUUGUUCUCACCUGCCAUGACUCAGUAGCUCACCCUGCAGCACUCAAAUCAAAUUGCCUAAUUGUACAGCUAAUUUUCCUGCAAAGAUGCAUUCUUAUGCUUAAAACGGUUGCUACCUUGAGGAGAGAUGCUGCUGCUCAGGAGCUGAUGUGUGCCUGGGGUGCUGGCCGCUUAUGACAACUGCUAUUAAAGUGAUUGACACUGCCCUUUGAGGUAGGGAUAUUUUUUCCA